CUUAAAUGAAUUGACGGGGCCCGCACAAGCGGUGGAGCAUGUGGUUUAAUUCGAAGCAACGCGAAGAACCUUACCAGGUCUUGACAUCCCUGACAACCCGAGAGAUCGGGCGUUCCCCCUUCGGGGGACAGGGUGACAGGUGGUGCAUGGUUGUCGUCAGCUCGUGUCGUGAGAUGUUGGGUUAAGUCCCGCAACGAGCGCAACCCUCGACCUUAGUUGCCAGCAUUCAGUUGGGCACUCUAAGGUGACUGCCGGCUAAAAGUCGGAGGAAGGUGGGGAUGACGUCAAAUCAUCAUGCCCCUUAUGACCUGGGCUACACACGUGCUACAAUGGGCGGUACAAAGGGUCGCGAACCCGCGAGGGGGAGCCAAUCCCAAAAAGCCGCUCUCAGUUCGGAUUGCAGGCUGCAACUCGCCUGCAUGAAGCCGGAAUCGCUAGUAAUCGCGGAUCAGCAUGCCGCGGUCGAAUACGUUCCCGGGCCUU
RNAcentral lists this ribosomal RNA (483 nucleotides) under uncultured Anoxybacillus sp. RNAcentral's name for it is "bacterial SSU rRNA". It matches the Rfam family "Bacterial small subunit ribosomal RNA", at positions 900 to 1382 of the family's 1533-position model. The record is from RNAcentral. Lineage: Bacteria; Bacillati; Bacillota; Bacilli; Caryophanales; Anoxybacillaceae.